RNAcentral lists this ribosomal RNA (431 nucleotides) under uncultured bacterium. RNAcentral's name for it is "partial 16S ribosomal RNA". It matches the Rfam family "Bacterial small subunit ribosomal RNA", at positions 29 to 505 of the family's 1533-position model. The record is from RNAcentral.
AACGAACGCUGGCGGCAUGCCUAACACAUGCAAGUCGAACGAGACCUUCGGGUCUAGUGGCGCACGGGUGCGUAACGCGUGGGAACCUGCCCUUAGGUUCGGAAUAACUCCCCGAAAGGGGUGCUAAUACCGGAUAAUGUCUUCGGACCAAAGAUUUAUCGCCUUUGGAUGGGCCCGCGUUGGAUUAGCUAGUUGGUAGGGUAAAAGCCUACCAAGGCGACGAUCCAUAGCUGGUCUGAGAGGAUGAUCAGCCACACUGGGACUGAGACACGGCCCAGACUCCUACGGGAGGCAGCAGUGGGGAACAUUGGACGAUGGGCGAAAGACUGAGCCAGCAAUGCCGCGUGAGGGAUGAAGGCGUUAGGGUUGUAAAGCUCUUUUACCCGGGAUGAUAAUGACAGUACCGGGAGAAUAAGCUCCGGCUAACUCCG